GAUGAAGAACGUAGUGAAAUGCGAUAAGUAGUGUGAAUUGCAGAAUUCAGUGAAUCAUCGAAUCUUUGAACGCACAUUGCGCCCCAUGGUAUUCCGUGGGGCAUGCCUGUUCGAGCGUCGUUUACCCCCUCAAGCUCCGCUUGGUGUUGGGCGUCUGUCCCGCUUCGCGCGCGGACUCGCCCCAAAGGUAUUGGCAGCGGUCGUGCCAGCUUCUCGCGCAGCACAUUGCGCUUCUCGAGGCACCGGUGGGCCCGCGUCCAUCAAGCUCACCCCCCCAGUUUGACCUCGGAUCAGGUAGGGAUACCCGCUGAACUUAAGCAUAUCAAUAAGCGGAGGA
This 337-nucleotide unclassified non-coding RNA is filed under the name soil metagenome. Its description in RNAcentral is "partial contains 5.8S ribosomal RNA, internal transcribed spacer 2, and large subunit ribosomal RNA". The stretch from base 1 to 120 matches the Rfam family "5.8S ribosomal RNA", at positions 35 to 154 of the family's 154-position model. The record is from RNAcentral.